UAGAAGGCUCUUUUCAGAGCCAACACACAUUUUCCAAAACGAAUUUG
RNAcentral lists this non-coding RNA (47 nucleotides) under Mytilus galloprovincialis (Mediterranean mussel). It matches the Rfam family "Histone 3' UTR stem-loop". From Rfam's summary of the family: The mRNAs of metazoan histone genes lack a poly-A tail. 3' end processing occurs at a site between a highly conserved stem-loop (modelled by this family) and a purine rich region around 20 nts downstream (the histone downstream element, or HDE). The record is from RNAcentral. Lineage: Eukaryota; Metazoa; Mollusca; Bivalvia; Mytilida; Mytilidae.